UCCUUUCAGUUCACUUUUUUUCCGUUCUCCCAUGCCUUCUCUCUCCAUUGAAGAUGUGACUUCUUCCGCUGUCGUCGCCGCCGCUGCUCAUGUCGCACGAGCUCCUUCCAUCGCCUCUCUCAGUGCGGUUGCUCCUUUCGUCGUCACACGAGCUCUCUCGGCCGUGCUCUUGUCUUACGAGCUCCCUCCGCCGCCACUCUCGUGCUGCUUCUUCUCUCCUCGCCAGAGGUUUGUCAUCGUCUCUUCUGGUCGCUGUUAGUUCAGAAUACGAUCGAGGAGAGCUCUUAUGUUUGCAAAUCAACUGUUGCUGCUGUAGAGAACGGAGUUUCUAAAUUCUAAGGGGAGAUGACACUAACACAACUCCAAAGACAACAACGCGUUUAAUUGAUUCUGAUCUUGCCGUCGCUCUUGUCUUUCAACAACAGCACUAUCAUCAUGCCUUUGAUUUAACCUCAAGGCUGGGAAUGGGAAACUUGUAGUUGUGGACUCCAAUGAUCAAACUAAGCUUAAACAUGAGGAUCAGAAGACUCUUCGUAGACUGGCUCAGAAUUGUGAGGCUGCUAGGAAGAGUCGAUUGAAGAAGAAGGUAAAUUAAUUGCUCCCAACCUGAU
This is a non-coding RNA of Arachis ipaensis, 611 nucleotides long. The record is from RefSeq and is a predicted model, not a curated record. Lineage: Eukaryota; Viridiplantae; Streptophyta; Magnoliopsida; Fabales; Fabaceae.